UGGAAAAAUCGAAGAGUCAAUGUAUUGAAAUAAUUUAGAGGAGAAACCAUAAUUCUGUUAUAUAAAGCCAAUACAUGAAAGAUAGCCCCAAUCUGGAAUUGUAUAACUACACACGUUUCACCAAAUUCACAAGAAUGUAAUGAAAACUAAAACUGAAUGUGUAAAAAAAAAUCUACAAUUAUGAAAUACAAACGAUGCAGGCAAUUUAUCUUGAAAGUUUGGACUUUUUUCCUUCUCUUUAUAUCUUCGUUUCUUGCUACACACUUUCAUCGGUAGUCUCCCCUGUUCAUUGCACUCGAGACGAUAGCCUGACAGGGCUUCAACAAGAGCAGAUAUUUUAUUUGUCAACAUAGAUAUCAGAAUUAUCGACUCCAUGAAUAUUUCUUUGGAAAUGUCAAUCCAACGAUUUCAUAUCGAGCUCAUAUUAGUUUUAGGCAUGUUCCCUCUGGAUCCUGCAUUUCUGAGCAGAACAUUAUAUUUGUAUCUUCUAAUUCAAGACUUGUUUUUCUCUUCAAAUCCUACAAUAUUUUUCCAAAUAAAGAAAUAAAUACAUAAAUAAAUAAGAAAAAAUGAUUCUAAAUUACAAAAGUUCAUGAUCAAGAUUAUUUCCGUUUGAAAAGGAAAAGUUAAAUCAUCAAUCGCAUAGCUCUAUUACUCUAGAAGUUAGUUUAUUACAUGAAAAUAAUUUAUCCACACUACAAAAAAAGAUAUUUUCAAAAAACUUAAAGAAGACACUAGAAAAAGAGCAAAUUCAUCAAGGAAAAAGUGAAUUAAUUCUGAUUAUAGGACCAAUAUACAAAUAUCACUCUGCCCCAAUCAUUAUUAGUUUCAACUCCCAUAUGUACCUAAUGGGAUUUGCCUCAGAUAGCAACAUAUUAUACCACAUAAAGUGAUCCUCAUCAACAUCAGCCAAAUUAGCUUGUGGCUCUAGAGUAGGCUAAUGGCUUCGAAUGCAGAGACAAAUAGUUAUGAAUAUUUAAUAGAAAUCACAAAUAACUAGAACAAUUCCCAAUUAUUUAUCAUACAAAACAAUAGACAUUCUGACUACCAUCUAUAGCACAUACGCUCCAAAUACGAAAACGACUAUUUUACAAAACAAAACAGGGCUACAAAUAAGUGAUCUAACAUAAGAGUGAAAAUGCUCUAAAUUUGGAACCACACAAUAUUGAAAUAGUGAUUGAACAAUAAACACGCCUCAAAGAUCAUAAAGAUUUGAAAGUUAAUCCCUCUAUUGGAGUUAUUUGAUACAAAUAUCACUCUGCCCCAAUCAUUAUUAGUUUCAACUCCCAUAUGUACCUAAUGGGAUUUGCCUCAGAUAGCAACAUAUUAUACCACAUAAAGUGAUCCUCAUCAACAUCAGCCAAAUUAGCUUGUGGCUCUAGAGUAGGUUAAUGGCUUCGAAUGCAGAGACAAAUAGUUAUGAAUAUUUAAUAGAAAUCACAAAUAACUAGAACAAUUCCCAAUUAUUUAUCAUACAAAACAAUAGACAUUCUGACUACCAUUUAUAGCACAUACGCCCCAAAUACGAAAACAACUAUUUUACAAAACAAAACAGGGCUACAAAUAAGUGAUCUAACAUAAGAGUGAAAAUGCUCUAAAUUUGGAACCACACAAUAUUGAAAUAGUGAUUGAACAAUAAACACGCCUCAAAGAUCAUAAAGAUUUGAAAGUUAAUCCCUCUAUUGGAGUUAUUUGAUGCUCAUAAUUAUAUUAUUUUGGGAUUCAAGAAAAAUGGAAGACAAUGAGCCAGAGAGGGAGAGAGAGGUACUUCCAGUGUUUAAUUACAGAGGAGAAGAGAAAUAAAUGCAUAAGAUUUACCUAGGGAAGGGGAUGGAGAAGACGCUUGCACAGAAAUAGAUACAUAUGAAUUACCUGGGGAGGUGAUGGAGAAGACGCGUGCAUUGAGAGAGAAAUAAGAGAGAGAGGGAGUUUUCUAGUGCUAAAUAUUUCAAGAGAACAUAAAAUAGAUACAGAUUAAUUGCGUGGGAAGGCAUAGGAGAGAGAAAAAGGAAAAAAAUAACAAAAUUUGCUGAUCUGGAAAAAUAGCGCUCACGAUCGCUCAUAUAUGUUACGCAGCAUAUCUUUUCUCUCUCUAUCUCU
Molecule: long non-coding RNA, 2100 nt
Filed under: Salvia miltiorrhiza (redroot sage)
Lineage: Eukaryota; Viridiplantae; Streptophyta; Magnoliopsida; Lamiales; Lamiaceae
Description: long non-coding RNA (SMIL_LNC011301)
Source: RNAcentral